CCUCACAUAAGAUAUAAAAAUGAAAAUGUUAAAUUGAAAAAAUAAUCAUUACGGCAGUUUUUUUCGUUUUUCCGGAAAUGCUAGAAGUUUCUAGAUCUGUUCCAAACACGUAAAACAAAAUUUAUAAUUUUUGGCUAAGAAAGUAUUUCAAUAGACUUGGGAAAAUGUUCAGUUUGGAGAUCAUGUUAUUUCCAAGUUGUUUCUUAGCGUUUUUACACUAAAUGUGGAUUUAUCAGUUAAAAAAACUACUCUUGACUCUAUUC
This 263-nucleotide long non-coding RNA is filed under the name Mytilus galloprovincialis (Mediterranean mussel). Lineage: Eukaryota; Metazoa; Mollusca; Bivalvia; Mytilida; Mytilidae. The record is from RNAcentral.